Podarcis lilfordi (Lilford's wall lizard) is the source of this 2401-nucleotide non-coding RNA. The record is from the annotation of a GenBank genome assembly. Lineage: Eukaryota; Metazoa; Chordata; Lepidosauria; Squamata; Lacertidae.
GCAAGUAACCCUUUCAGCACUCCAGCCAAAUUUCCUCCUCCCAGCCAACAACCCCCCUUUUUUUGUUUUGUUUUGCCUGACCACAUCUCCUAGUUUUCCUUUGUGUUCCUCCCAGGAAUGCUUUAGAAUUAGCGGUAACUCUUUGCAGUGGUUGGACUUCCGGGAAAGAUGGCGAAUUAGGGGGAGCCAUCUCUCCCAGGCCACCCAGGGCUGAUCCAGACGCAGGAGUUCGGAACCAGACGGAGGAGACCCUAAACCGACGGGCUAGAGAAAAGGUGAAGCCCCAUCGAACCUUCAAAGGCAGAAGUGGAGGUAGGGGAGCAGCUGAACGCCGGGAGAAGCGGGGAGGGAGCCCGGCCAUGCGCUCUGCUUUAGAGCAGACCCCGAAGCAAAACACGGGAGGAGAAGAGAAGCGGGGAGAUCAUCCCCACGUUUCGCUCUGUCCCCGGAUCUCCCCCCCCGCCCAACAAAGGGGAGACCCAGGUUCAGACCCGGGUCCCGAGUCGCCAGCGACUCUAGCCGCAUUUUGGAGAGAGGGACGCAGCGAUUGCGCCACCGGAGAGCCGGGAUCGCGAGGCGCAGGAGAAGGCGCGCGGCGGCUUUUGGCGCUGCCUCCCUGAAACCACUGCUGUCGCUUUGACCCUCGGCCAGCUGGGUCUGCGGAGCCCGCUACCGCGGGUCGGGACCCCCCAAGCCCAGCCGGUCCGCUUUGGACUGGGUGAGCGCGGAGGAGACGGAGAAUGGUGGCGCCCACGGAGGAGGCCUGAGCCGACAAAGGCUCCCUCCUGCGGACGCUACCGAUCUCCAAGCCUCGUGAGUUCCCAAAAGCUACAAAAACCACCCUCAGGUUGGUGCGCCCCAACGGAGACUUUCAGAAAUAAACAAACAGAUAAUUUUUUAAAAAAAUGUUUCCUUUUUAUCAGUUUUCCUUAUUUUUACUCUAGUCUUACGUUUAUUCCUUAAUCAUGACCCCUCCCCGCUUUUUAAAUUUUUUAAAAUGUUGCUGCUACUACUACUCCUCUUAUCAUUGCUUUCUCCCUUCCCCCCUUUUUCUUCUUUUCUUAUUAAUUUUAUCACCAUUAUUAUUAUCAAUAUUUGAAUUCCCCACCCUUCCCACCACACCAGGGAGACGGGGGAAAGAUAUUUUAGCUAUGCAGCAGAAUAAACCAGGAUUUUUUACUUUAAAUUUUUAACUUCACCAUCCAUUUUUAAACUUAACUCUCUACCUUGAUUUUUUACCUUCAUCUUUAAAUUCUUAUCCUUAUCCUUAUACUUUUUAUUUGCACAUCUUCAUUUUUCUUCUUACUUCAAUAUUUUACACACACACAAUCCCCUACCACCACCCAUCUCUCCCCCCCCCUUUUCCUUCCCCCUGUACCAGGGCCAUAGCUAGGGGGUGGUGAAGUAAGCCCCUGCCAAGGGUGCAGGUGAGGGUUUGGGGUUUUUUUUGCAAAAUCGGCUUAAAAUAUGUCCAUAAAUAUAUCUGUAAAUAAAAAUAUCAUUUAUUGCAUCAUAAGAAAAGGUUUUUAACAGAGGGUGAAUUGAAUGGGUGGAAAGAAGAGUUAAUUUGUCCGUGGCUAAGGGGCACAAUCUGGACGGUUCUGCCAGGGGCGCAAGAUCACCCAGCUGUGGCUCUGCCCUGUAUAUUUUUACUUGUAUCUUGUAUGCUUGCACAUUUGUCCCUCUGUCUGAUUGUUUGUCCUUGUUUGUCUGUCCAUUAUUCUGCCACCAGGGCAUUCUGCCACCACUCAGCCACUGCGGUCCGAGAGAAGUCCUUGAACCAACCAACCCGCUCCUGGGAGGUCAGCUGUCCUUAGGGAAGCAAGAGCGAAACAAGGGCAUGGUAAAAGGAAAGAGGCUCACCAAAAUCAUCGACUGCAACAUUUAAGACCCACAGCCCAGACGCAACAGCGAGGGGUACUUAAGGUGAAAGCAAGACACAACAGCAAGAGACCUGCAGAACCCCACCCCUACCGCCAAAAGCCACACCACACAACCCGAAAGAGAUCGACGGGAAAGCCAAAAUGGCCACAACCAAGGGGGAUACCGAAACCACAGAGACCGCCAUGGCCCCAGGAAACAGUCACACAAUACAACCACAACAGGACCCAGAAGACGUUGACCAGAAAGUUAACAAAACCACCAAAGAAAUGGCUAAACUGAUGAAACAAUUAGAAGAGAUGGUGGCCAAGGUCGAUACUCUCAGAGGCAGCAUUACCUCCUUGGAGAGGAAGAACCAGAUACAAGGAAAGCAUUUACAACAAGUACAUAAAGAAAACAGGGAGCUGAAAAGCAAGCUAGCGGACCUUGAGAAACGCUUAACAGUGGUUUCAAACUCUUCCAAUGCAGCCUUGUGUUAGUGUGUUGUUUACAAUAGAAUAAAACUUGCUAACUGUUUGUC